Molecule: ribosomal RNA, 484 nt
Filed under: uncultured bacterium
Lineage: Bacteria
Description: partial 16S ribosomal RNA
Rfam family: Bacterial small subunit ribosomal RNA
Source: RNAcentral
AUUGAACGCUGGCGGCAGGCCUAACACAUGCAAGUCGAGCGGAUGAAGGGAGCUUUCUCCUGGAUUCAGCGGCGGACGGGUGAGUAAUGCCUAGGAAUCUGCCUGGUAGUGGGGGAUAACGUCCGGAAACGGGCGCUAAUACCGCAUACGUCCUGAGGGAGAAAGUCGGGGAUCUUCGGACCUCACGCUAUCAGAUGAGCCUAGGUCGGAUUAGCUAGUUGGUGGGGUAAAGGCCUACCAAGGCGACGAUCCGUAACUGGUCUGAGAGGAUGAUCAGUCACACUGGAACUGAGACACGGUCCAGACUCCUACGGGAGGCAGCAGUGGGGAAUAUUGGACAAUGGGCGAAAGCCUGAUCCAGCCAUGCCGCGUGUGUGAAGAAGGUCUUCGGAUUGUAAAGCACUUUUAGUUGGGAGGAAGGGCAGUAAGUUAAUACCUUGCUGUUUUGACGUUACCAACAGAAUAAGCACCGGCUAACUUCGUG